This 402-nucleotide ribosomal RNA is filed under the name bacterium. RNAcentral describes it as "partial 16S ribosomal RNA". It matches the Rfam family "Bacterial small subunit ribosomal RNA", at positions 355 to 776 of the family's 1533-position model. The record is from RNAcentral.
UGGGGAAUUUUGCACAAUGGGGGAAACCCUGAUGCAGCGACGCCGCGUGAUUUAGAAGGCCUUCGGGUUGUAAAAAUCUUUUCUAUGGGAAGAAAAUGACAGUACCAUAGGAAUAAGGACCGGCUAAUUACGUGCCAGCAGCCGCGGUAAUACGUAAGGUCCGAGCGUUGUCCGGAAUCAUUGGGCGUAAAGGGUACGUAGGCGGGUAAGCAAGUUAGAAGUGAAAUCCUAUAGCUCAACUAUAGUAAGCUUUUAAAACUGCUCAUCUUGAGGUAUGGAAGGGAAAGUGCAAUUCCUAGUGUAGCGGUGAAAUGCGCAGAUAUUAGGAGGAAUACCGGUGGCGAAGGCGACUUUCUGGCCAUAACCUGACGCUGAGGUACGAAAGCGUGGGUAGCAAACAGG